GGAAUAUGCCCUGAUGUGGGGGAUAACCAUUGGAAACGAUGGCUAAUACCGCAUAAUCUCUUCGGAGCAAAGAGGGGGACCUUCGGGCCUCUCGCGUCAGGAUUAGCCCAGGUGAGAUUAGCUAGUUGGUGAGGUAAGAGCUCACCAAGGCGACGAUCUCUAGCUGGUCUGAGAGGAUGAUCAGCCACACUGGAACUGAGACACGGUCCAGACUCCUACGGGAGGCAGCAGUGGGGAAUAUUGCACAAUGGGGGAAACCCUGAUGCAGCCAUGCCGCGUGUGUGAAGAAGGCCUUCGGGUUGUAAAGCACUUUCAGUCGUGAGGAAGGCAUAUGCGUUAAUAGCGCAUGUGUUUGACGUUAGCGACAGAAGAAGCACCGGCUAACUCCGUGCCAGCAGCCGCGGUAAUACGGAGGGUGCGAGCGUUAAUCGGAAUUACUGGGCGUAAAGCGCAUGCAGGCGGCUUGUUAAGCCAGAUGUGAAAGCCCGGGGCUCAACCUCGGAAUAGCAU
RNAcentral lists this ribosomal RNA (510 nucleotides) under Photobacterium sp. CR-IV-E32. RNAcentral describes it as "bacterial SSU rRNA". It matches the Rfam family "Bacterial small subunit ribosomal RNA", at positions 121 to 626 of the family's 1533-position model. Lineage: Bacteria; Pseudomonadati; Pseudomonadota; Gammaproteobacteria; Vibrionales; Vibrionaceae. The record is from RNAcentral.